ACGCUAGCUACAGGCUUAACACAUGCAAGUCGAGGGGCAGCAUUUCAGUUUGCUUGCAAACUGGAGAUGGCGACCGGCGCACGGGUGAGUAACACGUAUCCAACCUGCCGAUAACUCGGGGAUAGCCUUUCGAAAGAAAGAUUAAUACCCGAUGGUAUAAUCAGACCGCAUGGUCUUGUUAUUAAAGAAUUUCGGUUAUCGAUGGGGAUGCGUUCCAUUAGGCAGUUGGUGAGGUAACGGCUCACCAAACCUUCGAUGGAUAGGGGUUCUGAGAGGAAGGUCCCCCACAUUGGAACUGAGACACGGUCCAAACUCCUACGGGAGGCAGCAGUGAGGAAUAUUGGUCAAUGGGCGCAGGCCUGAACCAGCCAAGUAGCGUGAAGGAUGACUGCCCUAUGGGUUGUAAACUUCUUUUAUAUGGGAAUAAAGUUUUCCACGUGUGGAAUUUUGUAUGUACCAUAUGAAUAAGGAUCGGCUAACUCCGUGCCAGCAGCCGCGGUAAUACGGAGGAUCCGAGCGUUAUCCGGAUUUAUUGGGUUUAAAGGGAGCGUAGGUGGACAGUUAAGUCAGUUGUGAAAGUUUGCGGCUCAACCGUAAAAUUGCAGUUGAUACUGGCUGUCUUGAGUACAGUAGAGGUGGGCGGAAUUCGUGGUGUAGCGGUGAAAUGCUUAGAUAUCACGAAGAACUCCGAUUGCGAAGGCAGCUCACUGGACUGCAACUGACACUGAUGCUCGAAAGUGUGGGUAUCAAACAGGAUUAGAUACCCUGGUAGUCCACACAGUAAACGAUGAAUACUCGCUGUUUGCGAUAUACAGUAAGCGGCCAAGCGAAAGCAUUAAGUAUUCCACCUGGGGAGUACGCCGGCAACGGUGAAACUCAAAGGAAUUGACGGGGGCCCGCACAAGCGGAGGAACAUGUGGUUUAAUUCGAUGAUACGCGAGGAACCUUACCCGGGCUUAAAUUGCAUUUGAAUAAUCUGGAAACAGGUUAGCCGCAAGGCAAAUGUGAAGGUGCUGCAUGGUUGUCGUCAGCUCGUGCCGUGAGGUGUCGGCUUAAGUGCCAUAACGAGCGCAACCCUUAUCUUUAGUUACUAACAGGUCAUGCUGAGGACUCUAGAGAGACUGCCGUCGUAAGAUGUGAGGAAGGUGGGGAUGACGUCAAAUCAGCACGGCCCUUACGUCCGGGGCUACACACGUGUUACAAUGGGGGGUACAGAAGGCAGCUACCUGGUGACAGGAUGCUAAUCCCAAAAGCCUCUCUCAGUUCGGAUCGAAGUCUGCAACCCGACUUCGUGAAGCUGGAUUCGCUAGUAAUCGCGCAUCAGCCAUGGCGCGGUGAAUACGUUCCCGGGCCUUGUACACACCGCCCGUCAAGCCAUGAAAGCCGGGGGUACCUGAAGUACGUAACCGCAAGGAGCGUCCUAGGGUAAAACUGGUAAUUGGGG
Molecule: ribosomal RNA, 1444 nt
Filed under: uncultured organism
Description: SSU rRNA
Rfam family: Bacterial small subunit ribosomal RNA
Source: RNAcentral